ACCAUUCAUAGACCAGAGUCAACAUUAUUCCAUUUCUUGUUCUUGUUCUUGUUCUUAACAAAGCUGUCCACAAUCUGCAAUAACGACAGGCUUAGCAGUCCUUCCACUGCUAGACCCAACUUUUUCAAUGGCUUUAACCACAUCCAUACCUUCAACAACUUGACCAAACACCACAUGCAUCCCAUCGAGCCACUCGGUCUUAGCGGUACAAAUAAAGAACUGAGAUCCAUUCGUUCCGGGACCGGCGUUCGCCAUGGAUAGUAUGCCGGGUCCGGUGUGCUUCUUGAUGAAGUUCUCGUCGGCGAACUUAGACCCGUAUAUCG
This 323-nucleotide long non-coding RNA is filed under the name Gossypium raimondii (Peruvian cotton). Its description in RNAcentral is "long non-coding RNA (GRAI_LNC010178)". Lineage: Eukaryota; Viridiplantae; Streptophyta; Magnoliopsida; Malvales; Malvaceae. The record is from RNAcentral.